CCCUUAGAUGUUCUGGGCCGCACGCGCGCUACACUGAUUCAUGCAACGAGUUUUGUCCUUGGCUGAAAGGCCUGGGUAAUCUUUGAACGUGAAUCGUGCUGGGGAUAGAUGAUUGCAAUUAUUCAUCUUCAACGAGGAAUUCCUAGUAAACGCAAGUCAUCAGCUUGCAUUGAUUACGUCCCUGCCCUUUGUACACACCGCCCGUCGCACCUACCGAUUGAAUGGUCCGGUGAAAUCUUCGGAUCUGAGAGAUGUUGGAUUAAUUUCUGACGCCUUUUGGAAAAGUCGCUUAAACCUUAUCAUUUAGAGGAAGGAGAAGUCGUAACA
Molecule: ribosomal RNA, 327 nt
Filed under: uncultured eukaryote
Lineage: Eukaryota
Description: partial 18S ribosomal RNA
Rfam family: Eukaryotic small subunit ribosomal RNA
Source: RNAcentral